RNAcentral lists this long non-coding RNA (42662 nucleotides) under Ananas comosus (pineapple). Its description in RNAcentral is "long non-coding RNA (ACOM_LNC013356)". The record is from RNAcentral. Lineage: Eukaryota; Viridiplantae; Streptophyta; Magnoliopsida; Poales; Bromeliaceae.
UUUUUAUGGCUAAAUUACAGAAAAUUCUCCAAUCAAAACCGGAUUUUUCACCUCCCCCCAUUUAAAAACCUACACUUUGUCCCCUUAAAAUAAAAAAAUAUUCAUAGGGAGUACUGUGUUAAUUGUGAUGACAAAAUGAUCAAAUUGCCCCUCACUCUCUUCAUCUCCUCCCUAAUUUUGCUCAUCCGCAGCCUCUCCUCCACCAUCCUUUGCGCCUCCCUCGACCCAGACUCCGACUCUAUUUCCUUCACCUACUCCCCUGCUUCUUCUGCAUCCUUGCUGCCCCUCCAUUUCGACAACGGUAGGGAGGAGAUCGGGGUGCGCGUGGACCGAGAGAUGGCCGAGGGCGGGGGCAAGGGCUAGCAGUGGAGGAAGGCAACGGUGUGUGUGUCGGUGCGAACGGAGGGGUGGGCGAGGGCGAAGCGACGGAGGAGGACGAGGUGGCAAAGUCGAGGACGUUGAUGAGGAGGGAGGAGGCGCAUUUGAGAUGAGGAUUUCAAGGAUAUUUUUGGGUAUAAAAAAAAUAUAAUAAUAGGAUAUAAAGGGAACCCUAACGUAACAUUAAUGGCGGGAGCCAAAAUGAACAUUUUUUAUUUUUUAAGAGGGCAAAAUGCAAAUUUUUAAAUAACAGGAGGGAAAGUAAAAAAGUGGUUAUUGACAGGGAGUUUUCUAUCCUUUUAUUAUUAAAAAAAUUUGACAAGAUAAAAAUCAAUUCUAGGUCCCUAGAUCACGAGGUAUAAGUAUUUAGUAUUAAUAUAUAAACAUGAGGCGAAGUGCGAAAGUAGAUAUUUAUAGAGACGCAAUAUUUUGGUUCAGAACGGUUUUUGAAAACCUAAGAUCGAAUUUGAAUAAAAAUCAAAACUCAAAAUUGUACCAAAACCUGAUUGGGUAUAAAAGUUCAAAAUUCGAAGCUGAAUUAAAAUAAAAAUUGAAUUCCGUACAAGACUGAGAAACAAAACCCGGCUAUUUAAUAUACUAGAUAUUAAAUAAAAUUAUUAAUAUAUAUUAAUUAUUAAAAUAAAUAUAAAAAAUUAUAUUUUUAUAUCUAAAAUAUAUUUUUAUAGAGAUUUAUCUUUGAGUUCAAAUUCUAUAAAAGGGGUAAAACUGCGAUAGUUGGCUGGAUCAAAACUAUGAGAUGAUUAAAAAGCAUGUGAUGAAUGAAAACCAUAAUUAGUUUGGUCUCUAUGCUUUUCUUUUUAAGUAAAAAUUGGAUAAAUGGAUCUCUCAAAAAAAAAAAAAAAAUUGGAUAAAUGGGCUGCCCGGCCCGGCACUCCUCGAGCCGAGCUACAGCACUGUAGCACCCGUGCCGGGCCAGUCCGGCUCGAACCUCCGGGCCGUGCUGGGCCGCGCCUUUGUGGCCAGACGACCCGGCACGACACGGCCCGAAAUGGCCUUGAGUAUGCCGGGCCUAGGAGAGGCGGGCGGCUGGGCACGGCACGGCCCGUUUGGACCGUGCCAGCCGGGCCAGGACGACCCGGACCCCUAAGGCCCAAAGCAAGGGCCUAAGCUCCUGGGGAGGAGGGAGGCCCUCCUCCUCCCCAGGAGCUUGAGGACAGACGCCCAUGGCGCCUCCCUGGCCCCGGCUCCAGCACCUAAGGCCUCGGCCCCGGCCCUCAAAUCCAAGGCCCCACCCCGUCCGGCCAUCCCCCUCCACCUCCCCGACCUUCUCCCCCGGCGCCCCCUACAGGCAGACCUCCUUCCCGGCAACCUACUCCGAGAACCCCUCCUCCCCGAAAACCCUACCUCCUUUGGAAAACCCCGGCACCUCCCGCCUCCGUUAAUUUUGUUUUCAAAAAAAAAUAAUACAAAUUUAUUAUUUUUUUUAAAAUUAAAUAUUUACUAUAUUAUAAUUAUUUUUAUAAAAUUUUUAAAUGAUUUAAUCAAAUUUAAACUAAUUUUUUUUAAAAAAAUUAAAAAUAAAUAUUUUAAGAGGCAGCCCAAAGCCCGGCCAGGCCCGGCCCGUGCAUUCCGGGCCGAAGGGCCGUGCCGGGCAAGAGGCUAGGGGGCUCGGGCCUGGCCCGGCAUGGCCCGAAAUUGAAACCGGGUUGGGCCGGCAAACCACUAACCCGUUUCGGCCCGAAAAAUACGGCCCGGCACAGCCCACAUUACACCCUAGCCAUGUAUAAGGAUGUGUUUCAUUGGCCAUAAAAUUUACUAAAAAUUAUUUUUUGAUUUGAAAAAUUAAUUUUCAUAUGUAUGUAUAGUCGUAAAAGAAAAUCAAAAAUUAUUUUUAUAGAUUUGAAAAAAAAUAAAAUGUUUUCAUUUUCGGCAUAUUUUCGGCACAAAACAAGAAUUCAACCUGCGUAAAUUUUUUUCUAUUCGUUGUUUUCCAUCGAAGCAGACAAAUAUUAUUAUUAUUUUUUCAUCCAAACAAAUACUUAUAUAUAUAUUUUUUUUUUUUCUACAAACCAACCACUAUAAAAGAUGGAGCUUUUUUUUCACCAAAGUUUUUAAUAAAAAUUUAUUUUCAUGAUUUUUGGUCCAACCAAACACUCUCUUAAAUGUAAAAGUACGAAUAUCGAAUAAAAGAGUACGUUUGAGAAUUAGAGUGAAGCUCGACUAGAAUAUAUGUUAAAAAUUAGCAGUAGCACAAAAUGGGUUACUAUAACUAAAGAGUGGGGAGAUGGAGAUGUAGAGGGCUCACCUGUGCAGACCGAGCGCAGUGGCGAGGCCGGCGAUGCCGGCGCCGACAAUCACGAUGUUCUCGGCGGCCUCCGUCGACGUCGGUUGCUGCAUGGCGAUCGAACAACUCUUGUUCCGACGAGGGGAGAGAAUUAAGAGAGACGACAGAAUUACAAGGAGGAAGGGACGGCGCAGGUUUGGAAUUGAAGAGGAUCAGGCGGCUGAUCAGUUAAUAACUUCAUAUAUAUAUAUAGAGAGAGAGAGAGAGAGAGAGAGAUAUAGGGAGAGAGAGGAAGGUUUGGAGGAAGGAGAGGGAGUGUUGUAAUUGCUGAUAAAGGAAUGAAUGAAGAGUGCGAGGAAGGAGUGCGGAGUGACUUACGUCAUUGCUGAUUAAAGCUGAUUUUAGCUGUAGGACCAUAGCGGCGACUGCAGCCUACCGCCACAAUAAUUUUUUUUUAGAGAAAUCAAAUAUAAAAUAAAAAAUAAAUAUAAAUAAUAUAAAAAAUUAUUAUAUAUAAUUGUUAAAAAAUAUUGUUUUUUUAAAAAAUGUAUCGUUUGGACAUACUUUUUUUAAUUUCUUUCUUUUUUUUUGCAUUUAGUUUCUUAACAAAUUUUUUUUUAAAUAGUUUUAUAAAAUUUAUAUUUAUAAAAUUGAUCACAUUUUUUCAAUAUGAGCGUCACGUAAGUGUCAUAUUAGAAGUGGAGUUUAUGUUGAAUACAAUAAAAUAUUUACUGUGUUCAAAUACGAUAAAUGAUUUAUCGUAUUUUUCCUUUCUAUCUUUUUUACUAACAGGUCGCCGUGGUAUAAGAUCUCCGAGAUCGUGUAAGGAACCACCGUGUAGGGAGGCGGAGAACUGGACGAGGCGGGGUGCGGCAGUAUCGUCGGAGGAGGAGGAGGAGAGGAGAUGCGGCAGGGGGUGGCGGCGGCAGAAGCUCGACACAAAGAGAAAUGGAGGAAACUUAGGGAGAGAAUGAGAGGGAGAGAGAUCGAGUGGAAGUUAGAUAAUUUUAUUUUUUUCACUCAAGUUAUUAUUAUUUUUAAAAAAGUGUAAAAUAAAUUUUUAUAUUUUAAUAGGUGUAAAAAAUACUUUUUAUUUAUUUAUUAAAAUAAAAUUGAAUUAAUUAGCUAAUAAAAUAAAGUUAAAUUAUAAAGCAGACUAGAUUGGAACGUGCUAGCCACAUUUUUGGACUGUAGCCCGCAGACGUAUGCAGGUGAGUCCUCAUAGUCUCCUUCCGGAAGGAGAAAUUAUUGCUAUUAUUUUAAUUUAAAUGGUUCGGAAACCUAAUCUUCGGGUACGGCACAUUUUUGUAAAAAAAAAUAUUAUUGUUGUAGUAGUGUGUAACAGGUGGCUUUUGUUUGAGUGCUGUUAUUUUUAAAUGGGAUGCAGUGACUAAUCUUGUCAGUUUGCAGGCGCUCAAUUCACCGUACUUUAAUUUAUAUUAAAAUUUAAUUUAGUAUAUAAAAAAUAUAUUUACACGUACUAUAUAUAUAUAUAUUAUAUAUUAAUAUAUAUAUAUUUAUAUAUAUAUAUAUAGAGUGAGGUUACUAUUCUAUCGGAAGCAUGGAGCCUUUCGUACUUCCAACCUCGUUUCGAUGUUGCGACUCUCGAAUCGUCGAUCCGCUCCAUUAAACUUGAUCUAGAGUAUUGGAGUGCCUAGAAAUAAAUUUUAUAUUUUUCGAUAUCAUUUGCCUAGUGAUCGAAUGGGCUAAAAACAACAAAUUUCAAUGGCCGUAGUGAGCCGUUGUCAAGUUUAACGGUGUAGAAAUAUCCAAAUCACGUGAAAUUUGAUAGAAAAUUCUUUAUACUAUUAAAACAAGAUCAAUAUCUUUGAUUUAAAAUUUUAAUGUCAUAUUAUUAAUUUUAUAAGAUUUUUAUUUUCAGCCGUUGAUUUUGAGCCCCUUCGUUCACUAGGCAAAUGAUAUCGUAAAAUCAUAAAAUUUAUUUUCUAGGUACUUCAAUACUCUAGAUCAAGUUUAACGGAGCCGAUCGACGAUUCGAAAGUCCGAACAUCGAAAACGAGCUGGAAGCACGGAAGGCUCCGUGCUUCCGAUAGCAUAGUAGCCUCAACUAUAUAUAUAUAUAUAUAUAUAUAUAUAUAUAUAUAUAUAGAAUUGAGCUAAAUACUUUUACAAGUAUACCCAUGAUGCUAUUAGGUUUUAGCCAUUGGAUCUACUCCUUGAUUACUAAUAGCCCUUGGUAUCAAACACUAUUCCACCUACCACACCUAUCACCACCUACCACCAUCAUCUCAACUCACAUCUCUCCAUCCAAUGGCUAAAAAACAAAACACCACUUCCAUAAUACUUUACAAGUAUUUUAGCUCAACUCUAUAUAUGUAUAUAUAUAUAUAUAAGAGUUGAGUUGGAAUACUAUCGUGGCAACGAGCUCCGUUCACACCAUUUGUUUUCGAUGAUGAAGCCUCCAAAUGCGACGAUCGGCACCGAUGAACGUGAUCUAUACACUUGAAGUAUCUAGAAACACAAUUUCAUACUUUUUCGAUAUUGUUUCCUUAUCCAUCGAGUGGACACAAAAAUGAAGCGCUGAAAAUGAAUAUCUUUGUAAAAUGAUGAUAGAGUCUUGUAGUUAAGAUCAAGAUAUGAUCUUGUUUAAAUAUUUAAAGAUUUUCUAAUAAAAAUUCAAUUGAUUUGGAUAUCUUUAGCCGUUAACAGAAAACACUCCCAUCGACCAUUAAAUUACAAAUUUUGAAACCCUUUGAUCAUUAGGCAAAUGAUGUGAAAAAAUUGAAAUUUGAUUUCCAAACACUUCAACUGGUAUCGGAUCAUGCCAACGGUUGCCGAUCACGAUUUGGAGGCUCUCAUCAUCGAAAACAAAUGGUUGGCAACGGAGCCCGUUUGCUAUCGAUAGUAUUCUACGCUCAACUAUAUAUAAUAUAUAUAUAUAUAUAUAUAUAUAUAAUAUAUAUAUAUAGAGUCCGGCUACUAUGCUAUCGGUAGCAGGAGCGCUCCUGCUACCAAGUUGUUUGAUUGAUGCGGCUUCCAAAUCGACGUCGCUCCGUUAGACUUGAUCUACACUAUUGAAAGUAUUCGGAAACUAAAUUCAGAUUUUUUCGACAUCAUUGUGACUUGUGAUCAAAAGAUCUUAAAUUGAUAAUUUAAUGGCCGAUAGUGUGUUUGUGAGUUUAACGGUGUAAAAUAAUCCAAAUGCGAUGAAAAUUUUAUAGAAAUUUUUUUUUACUAUUUAGAGUAAGAUCAGUUUAUCUGAUCUUGAAUUUAAAUCUUUUUAUCAUCUUUUCAUAGAGUUUUAUUUUUAGCCGUUCAAUUUUAGACUACUUGUUUGAUAGGUAAAUGAUAUCGAAAAUUAUGAAAUUUAGUUUUCUAAAUACUUUUCAAUAGUGUGGAUUAAGUCUAACGAGCUGAUUGUCGAUUUGGAAGCCGCAAUCAUCGAAAACUAACUGGUAGCAGGCGAGCGCUCCGUGCUACCGAUAGUACAGUAGCCUAAUAUAUAUAUAUAUUAUAUAUAUAUAUAUAUAUAUAUAUAUAUAAGAACUAAGCUACUAUAAUAUAAUAGUACAAAGUCAUUGAUGCUACAAGUUUUUGGCCAUUGGAUUUAAGAGAUCGUGCGUUAGGAUGAUGUGGCGCUCUUUAGGGUUGAGUGGGUGGUUGUGUUGAAUAGAAUGAUCAAACGGGUGAAAAUGAUCAAAAGGGUAGAUCUAUAACGCGGAAAAACUUGGUAUGCACCAAGUGCUUCGUGCUAUUAAUAGCACAGUAGCCGUAUANNNNNNNNNNNNNNNNNNNNNNNNNNNNNNNNNNNNNNNNNNNNNNNNNNNNNNNNNNNNNNNNNNNNNNNNNNNNNNNNNNNNNNNNNNNNNNNNNNNNNNNNNNNNNNNNNNNNNNNNNNNNNNNNNNNNNNNNNNNNNNNNNNNNNNNNNNNNNNNNNNNNNNNNNNNNNNNNNNNNNNNNNNNNNNNNNNNNNNNNNNNNNNNNNNNNNNNNNNNNNNNNNNNNNNNNNNNNNNNNNNNNNNNNNNNNNNNNNNNNNNNNNNNNNNNNNNNNNNNNNNNNNNNNNNNNNNNNNNNNNNNNNNNNNNNNNNNNNNNNNNNNNNNNNNNNNNNNNNNNNNNNNNNNNNNNNNNNNNNNNNNNNNNNNNNNNNNNNNNNNNNNNNNNNNNNNNNNNNNNNNNNNNNNNNNNNNNNNNNNNNNNNNNNNNNNNNNNNNNNNNNNNNNNNNNNNNNNNNNNNNNNNNNNNNNNNNNNNNNNNNNNNNNNNNNNNNNNNNNNNNNNNNNNNNNNNNNNNNNNNNNNNNNNNNNNNNNNNNNNNNNNNNNNNNNNNNNNNNNNNNNNNNNNNNNNNNNNNNNNNNNNNNNNNNNNNNNNNNNNNNNNNNNNNNNNNNNNNNNNNNNNNNNNNNNNNNNNNNNNNNNNNNNNNNNNNNNNNNNNNNNNNNNNNNNNNNNNNNNNNNNNNNNNNNNNNNNNNNNNNNNNNNNNNNNNNNNNNNNNNNNNNNNNNNNNNNNNNNNNNNNNNNNNNNNNNNNNNNNNNNNNNNNNNNNNNNNNNNNNNNNNNNNNNNNNNNNNNNNNNNNNNNNNNNNNNNNNNNNNNNNNNNNNNNNNNNNNNNNNNNNNNNNNNNNNNNNNNNNNNNNNNNNNNNNNNNNNNNNNNNNNNNUAUAUAUAUAUAUAUAUAUAUAUAUAUAUAUAUAUAUAUAUAUAUAUAUAUAUAUAUAUAUAGUCCAGCUGCUAUACUAUCGGUAGCACGGGGCCUCCCGUGCUACCAAGUUGUUUUCGAUGAUGCGGCUUCCAAAUCGACGAUCGGCUCCGUUAGACUUGAUCUACACUAUUAAAAAUAUUCGAAAAUUAAAUUUCAUAAUUUUUCGACAUCUUUUGACUAGUGAUCAAAAGAUCUCAAAAUUGACCAUUUUAAUGGUCGAUGUGGCAUGUUUGUGAGUUUAACGGUGUAAAACAAUCCAAAUCCGAUGAAAAUUUUAUAGAAAAUUUUUUUCACUAUUUAGAGUAAGAUCAGUAUAUCUGAUCUUGAAUUUAAAUCUUUUAUCAUCAUUUUUUAUGAGAUUUUUAUUUUCAGUCGUUCAAUUUUAGACUAUUUGUUUGAUAGAUAAAUGAUAUCGAAAAAUUAUGAAAUUUAGUUUGCAAAUACUUUUAAUAGUGUAGAUCAAGUCUAACGGAGCCGAUCAUCGAUUUGGAAGCCGCAUCAUCGAAAACAACUUGGUAGCACGGGAGGCUCCGUGCUAUCGAUAGUAUAGUAGCCGGACUCUAUAUAUAUAUAUGAGUGGAGCUAGAAUACACUCAAAAGUACCAAGUGUGUGGUGUUUUAGAAUUUUUAGUCCUUAGAUGGAGAGAUGUGAGGUUGAGAUGAUGAUAGUAGAUGGUGGUAGGCGGAAUAGUGUUUGAUCCAAGGGAUAUUAGUAAUUAUGGAGUGGAUCCAAGGAUUAAAAACUUAGAAGCACCAAGUGGGUGGUGCUUCUAAAAGUAUCCUAGCCCAACUAUAUAUAUAUAUAUAUAUAUAUAUAUAUAUAUAUAUAUAUAUAUAAUAGGGCUACUAUACUCUUAUGAGUAUUGGACUCUUCGUACUCAUAACUUGUUUUCGAUGAUGGAGCUUCCGAAUCGACAAUCCACUCCGUUAAAUAUGAUCUAGAAUAUUUGAAACUUCUAGAAAAUAAAUUUGUAAUUUUUCGAAAUCAUAAUAAAGGCCAUCAAGCGGGCAUAAAAUGAAUGGUCAAAAUCGAACGACGUCCAAAAAAUGAAUGAUCGGAUCUUUCAAUUUAAGAUCGGAGUUAUUAAUCUUUAUCUAGGUAGUGAAUAGAAUUUUCUAUCAAAAAUUCAAUCUAUUCCGAUUCUUUUGCACCGUUAAACUAGUAAGUAUCCCAUACCGGCCGUUAAAAAUUAUCAAUUUUGUGACUUUUUGAUCGUAAGGUAAAUGAUAUCGAAAAAUUAUAAAAUUUAAUUUCUAGAAGUUUUAAAUGCUUUACAAAAUGUUUAACAGUAUGGAUCAUCGAUUCAGAAGUUCUAUCAUCAAAAACGACUUAUAAGUACGAAGGCAAUCGUACUCAUAAGAGUAUAGUAGCCGGACUCACUUUUAUGAGUAUUGGCUCUCUUAUACUCUUAAGUUUUCGGUUCUUAGAUUUAUUUCAUUGAUCAUUUCCACCCGUUAGAUCAUACUGUUCAACCAACUACCCACUCAACCCUAGGGAACCACUAUUAUUCUAAGUGGGGACUACCAUCAUCCUAACCACGCAUCCCAUCAAUCAACGGUUAAAAAUUUAUGAGUAUAAGGGGGUCUAUACUCAUAAGAUUAUAGUAGCCCCAGCAUAUAUAUAUAUAUAUAUAUAUAUAUAUAUAUAUAUAUAUAUAUAUAUAUAUAUAUAUAUAUAUAUAUAUAUAUAUAUAUAGUUGAGCAAGAAUACUAUUGAUCGCAAACGGGCUCCGUUGCCACCUAUUUGUUUUCGAUGAUAGAGCCUUUAAAUCAAGGAUCGGCACCAUUGAACAUGAUAUAUACCACUUGAAGUGUUUAGAAAUCAAAUUUCAAAUCUUUUCGACAUCAUUUGCUUAAUGAUCAAAAUGUUUCAAAAUUUGCAAUUUUAAUAAUCGAUAUGAGGCAUUUUCUAGUUUAACGGUGUAAAGAUAUCCAAAUCAAUUGAAUUUUUGUUAGAAAAAUUUUAAACUAUUUAAAACAAGAUCUAUACUCUUGAUCUUGAUUACAAGACUCCUAUCAUCAUUUCUUAAAGAAUAUUUAUUUUUAGCCGUUCAUUUUUGUGUCCACUCGAUGGAUAAGAGAAUACUCUCAAAAACACCAACUCCUUGGUGCUUUUGAGUUUCUAGCCAUUGGAUCUACUCUUUGAUUAUUAAUAAUUUUUGAAUCAAACACUAUUCCACCUACCACCAAUUACCACCACCUACCACCAUCAUCUCAACCCUACAUCUCUCCAUCCAAAGGCUAAAAACUCAAAAGCACCAACCCCUUGAUGCUUUUGAGAGUAUACUAGCUCAACUCUCUCUCUCUCUCUCUCUCUUUCUCUAUCUCUCUUUCUCUCUCUCUCUCUAUAUAUAUAUAUAGUAGGUCUUGUAUGCUAUUAGAAACAGGGAGAUUUUCGUGCUCCUAAACCGUUUUCGAUGAUGAAGCUUCCAAAUCGAUGAUCAGCUUCAUUAAACUUGAUCUAGCAUAUUUAAAAUAUUUAGAAAACAAAUUUUUCGAUCUUUCAAUAUUAUUUACCAAGCAAACGAAAAGGUUCAAAAUCAACAGGUGAAAAUAAAAAUUUCAUAAAAAGUGGUGUUAUAGCGCUAAAAUUUUCAAUUAGAGAUAUUAGUCUUGCAGUAAAUAGUAUAAAGAAAUUUUAAUCAAAAUUUCAUCUGAUUUGAAUACUUUUACACCGUUAAACUUACAAAUGAUAUAUAUCAACCAUUAAAAAUUAUUGAUUUUGAACCAUUUCGAUCAUUAGGUAAAUGAUAUCGAAAAAUCAUAAAAUUUAUUUUCUAGAUACUUCAAAUAUACUAAAUCAAGUCUAACGGAUCCGAUCGUUGAUUCGAAAGCUUCAUUACCGAAAACAGCUAAGGAGCACGGAGGCCGUCCUCCGUGCUCCUAAUAGCACACAAGACCUACUAUAUAUAGAGAGAGAGAGAGAUAAAUAGAGAGAGAGAGACUACUAUGUUUUCAGAAGCUUAGGAUCCUCGUGCUUUUACUUUUUUUUUUCUCGAUGAUGGAGUAUCAGAAUAAUGCUAGCUUUUUUUAUCCAGAAAUUAGAAAGUAUAUAACAUUUUGGUUCUUAAAUUUUAAUUUAUUAUAAUUUUUAAUUUUUUUAAAAUUAUUACAACCAAGUCUUAUAAUUUAAUUUAAUUGACUAAAUAUUGAUAUACUGCUAAUAUAGAUAGAUAAUGCGGCAAUAAUUAUUAAAAUAUAGCAUUAUUUUAACAUAAGGGCGCGUUGGUUCGCACUAUGAAAGUUUACUUGGAGUAAAAUGAUAUCCGAAAAUCUUAUUCCUAUUCAUCCUAUUACUAGGAAUAUAGUAUUUUGAUGUUUGGUUCGUACGGUCAUAUUAUUUAGUUAAUGUUAUUUAAGAUUACGAAAAAAAUAUAAUUAAUUAAUUAAUUUUUUAAAUUAAUUUUAAAUAAUACUAUAAAAAAAUUUUAACAUCUUUUUAGAAGAGAGAGAGAAAAUAUAGAUUAGAAAGAAAAAGCAUAAUUAAAGAAAUAGAAAGAGAAAUAGAAUCAAGAUUAGAGAGAAUGAGAGGGUUGAGAUUUUAGAAAAAAAGGAGAAAUAGCUUAGUUCAGAGAGAGAAAAAGAGUUAAAGUUAGAGAGAAAAAAAUAAGUUUAGAGAGAGAUAUGAGGUUAGAGUGUAAAAACAAAUAAUACCAACGAGCCGGCGGGUAAGUGAUUAGACAUAUUAUAAUUAUCCCAAUCCAUUAAUAUAAGGAUACCCAUCCUCCCUCAAAGGAAUGAAAUUAGUACUUUCGGAUGCAUCUCAUUCCCAAGUUAAUUCAAUAUUACCAACUAGAUUACUUAAUACGUUUAGCCAAAUACGAUCAUAUUUUUUUUAUUUCUAUUGGAUUACUAGAAAUUUUAUAAAAAUAGCGCGAACCAAACGCACCCAAAGUGAUAUGUCAAUAUAUUUUCAACUAAACAGUUGUGGGAAUUAAAUAUGAUAAUUUAAAAAAUUUAAAUUAUAAAUUAUAAUAAAUUAAAUUUAGAGGAUGUAAUAUCACCGUACAUUUGCGGACCAAAAAUAUAAUUUGAGCCUUAAAUUAAUAUUCAUUUUUUUCAUUUUCUUCAUCAUCCAUUUAUAGGCUGUUCCCAUCAUUCACCCACCAACCUUGCAUAAACCCAAGACAAAAGAUAAAGUAUUCGGAACCCCAACCACUGUAGAUUCCUUGAUCAUAUAGUAGCCUUUAAAUAAUGUAAAUAAUUAUUGUAAAUGGUUUUAAUUUUCUAUUUUAGGAUCUUUCGAGCUUGAUUUUUAACUAGCAAAAUAGUAUGUAAUUUGGACUUGUGUACUUGAUUUUGGCUUAAUUAUAGUUUACUAGCCUGUAUUUUUGUUUUAUUUUUAUUUACAACACCAUAAAUAUUUCAGAACGACAAAACUAUCAUUUUCUCAAUAAUUUCUACAUUAAACUUAGAAUUAUUUUAUUUUUUAUGUUGUACUAUUUUAUAGUUUAAAGACAUUACUAAACCAUCGUCCUCUCACCAGUCUUUACACCACUGUCAACUAAUAAACGGUUAAAGAUAGAAUUGAAGCUAGCAACUCUAUUAAGAGGCACCAGCUAGAUAGCAUGAAAAAAAUAAAAUAGAUCUUUAAGAUAGAUCUAUUGAAACUUUCAAUCAAAUUGUUCUCAAUCCUGCAUUUUCUCCGGCAAUUGUAGGUGCUUUCUUAUUCUUGAGUCACAAUAAGCCAAAAACGUAUGUGCAUUUCACUACUUCCAUUGAGUCCUCUUUGAUUAAGCUUUUACUUUAUAUUCAGUACCCCAAAUUUUUUGCAAUAUUGUAAAGACAAAUGUAAUAACCUGUGUAGGGGUGGAAUUGGGUCCGGGCCAAAACAAGGCCCGGCCCAAUAGGCCAUGUUUGGGUCGGGCUUUGGGUAUUAAAAAUAUAACUUUGGGUUCGGGUCAGGCUUAAAAAUUUAGGCUCGAAAAAAUUUUGGGUCUAUUUGUGCGUGUCAAAACACAGCCCGAGCCCAACCCAAAAGCCUGAUAUAUUAAUUAUUAAAAUAAAAUAUUUAAUUAUAUAUAUAUAUAUAUAUAAUAUUUAUCGGAAUAAAUGAUAUAGUAUAUUAUAUAUAGUAUAUAUUGUUAUUUGUAGUGUCCUGGGUGCUCAGCUGUCUAUGUGAUUUCAGCAUCUAUUGCUUGUCGAUACGUCUGGAGAGUGUCGGGAUAAGUCGGAGUCGAUUUAGCGCGAAAUGGACGCAAAACGGACUCAACGCGAUGCGAAAGUGAAGUUUUGACACUGAAAUCUGCAAAGUGUACGAUUUCAGUGUUAAGUACCGAUACCUGGGAGGAGUACCGGUACCCCCGUGAUUGCAGAACUGGAUUGCUCUCGGGUUUGCGUAUAUGUGAUGCUGAGUACCGAUACCCGCUUGUCGAGUACCGGUACCGAGCUCGAGUACCGGUACCGCAUCAGGAGAGUACUGGUACCCAGUGCGCUCGACAGCGGAUUGAGGGGCCGAGUACCGGUAACCAAGUUGGGUACCGGUACUCCAGCUGGAAAAAGGAAUAGGUAAGGGCCUUUUUGGUCUUUUGUUUGCGAUAAAACCAAACCAAACCCCCAGCCUUCACUCCUUGUGCCCGAGGUUGAUAGAAACACAGAUUGGUUCCCUCUUUCUCUCUCUAACUCUUGUCCUUCAUUUCUUUGGGGAUUUUAGAGAUCCGAUUUUAUUUUUCGUUCGCUUGCUUUUCGAGGAUUGUGCGCGCGCGCCGUGGUUGAGUCCGGUGGAGGCCGUUGGAGGUCGAGCGAGCAUGCGGGUUUCUCCGGUCGACUUCUUGCCGACGUUGGACGAGCGUUCGAAGUGGGUUAAUGUUUACCAAAAUCGUCGGAAUUCCUCCUAAGUUGUAGAGUGUCAGCAUGUAUUUUUCUUGUGUUGAACAUCAUGUAUAGUAGCUCGAAUUCUUAAAUUGGCAUGUUUUAUGAAAUCUGAAUUUGGAGCAUAGUCUAUUGAUGUUAGAUGAAUUAUACAUGUUGAAUUGGAAUUUGACUUAGGAGAAAACUCAUUAAACCUACACUGUCAUUUUUCUGAAAAGUUACUAGAUUGAGUUUCAAGAGCUGCUGUACUUGUGUAUCCUCGCUAUUAGUGCGUAGUAGAUACCCAGCUUAGAGUAGGCUGACUUUACGCUCGUGCUAAGGGGCCGAGCUUGUUGUAUAGUAGCGUUUGGACUGUCGGGUGCCGUCGGGGUUAAUGGUGGAGACAGAAUUCUGUAUCACCGCUGUUAAUGCAAGGUGGAUACUCGGAUGAGUUUACGCUCGCGUUGGGGAGCCGAGUGUGUUGUUACAGUAGAGUUACACUGUGUUGGACCGUCGGGGCCAUCGGGGUUGACGGUGGACUCAAAUUUCUGCAUUUUGCAUCAGAUUAUGCCAAGGGCAUGUGAGUUUCGAUUGGGUCGCGCCCAUGAAUGCCAUUCCGGAAUGAGGGUUUCAGUGCGAUGAGGUCGUAGUUUCUGUUUGAACAGUUCUUUAGCUGGCCACCCCCGUGGGUGGUGUAUGGCGUAGCUUGGAUACAGGCAGUGUGGGUCCGUUUUGACAGCCCGUGUGAGAUUGGGUCAGUGGUAGUUAAUGACACUUUUCUCUACCCUCAGUAAGGCUGUGACGUGUAUAGAGUCACAGCAGUCCUGUUGGACCUUUCUACUUGGACGGCCAUUUCCGUGUGUGGGGUAUGGUGUAGCUUAAGCAGACGGGACGGGUGUAGCAUAGUCCCUAGUGAGAUCUCACCACCGGCAGCCCUUGGGGUGGUGUGCGGUGUAGCUUAGCCAGACGGGAUGGGUGUAGCACAAUCCCUAGUGAGAUCUUGCCAUCGGCAGCCCUCGGAGUGGUGGACGAAGUAGCUUCAAUAGGCGGAACGGGCGUUUCGCAGUCCCCAAUGAGAUUCGGUCAGAGUGAGGCAUCGUUCAUAUCUACAGAUAGCCUAGUUUGAUUAGUGAUAGUAUAGUGGCAUGUAGCUGUAGAGUUUUUUCAGCUUUCCUUACUAUCCUUUGCGCAUAUUUCUGUAGACUUAGUGGAUGGGCUGUUGAGGUCGGUGACGGUACCCACUGAGAAUGUAACAUACCACAUCCCUCAUAAAUCGUGCCGAGUUCCGUCAAAACGAGCGGAACGCGGAAUUGAACGAGUUAGAAUGGACCUUGAGCACAUUAGGGCUCAUAGGAGAAGCAAAAAGGGACCCGAGAGAGAGAAUUAGAAAAUCUGGUUAAGUCCCAGAUUUUGUGCUUUCGGGGACCGAUCCCUGAAGGAGAGACCGGUCCCCGUACGCGUAGCCUGCCAGGAAGUCUUGAGGCAACCGGUCCCUGGUGGUGAGACCGAUCCUCGGGAGACCGGUCCCUGAAGGGGCAGACCGGUCCCUCGCUGCGCAACAGCCGAAAUACCGGAAAAUUUGGCUAAGUCCUAGAACACCCACGUUCGGGAACCGGUCCCUGGUCGGGGAGACUGGUCCCCGAAGGCGAAAAACGCCCAGUCUGGGCAGAUCAAGGGUAAACAAGUUGAGGGAUUUAAAUGCAAUUGUCACAACACUAUAUGUGGACACCCCUUUCUCUCCUACAGCCAUUUUCACCCUUCUCUCCCAUUUCCUCUCUUUCUCUCUCUAGAACUCUUGCUCUAGGGCUUGGAGAAGAAGAAGAAGAAGCAAGGGAAGGUGGAUUUGGAGGCUUUGGUGGGUUCUACAAGCUCUCCUACAAGAAGGACUUGGAGGGGCUUGGGCUAAGGUGAGUUUUUGGUAGAAAUGAGUCUAGGGCUUGGUUUUAAUCCCUAUGUUUUGGAGCUUUGGGUUGUUUUUGGCCAUGGGAGCCUUUUAUAUGCCUUGAACUCCAUGGAACCCAUGAGAGCUCAAGUGCUCUCAUGGUGGUUGGGUAGGGUUUGUCAUGGAAGCCCUAGGGUUGGUUCCAAGGGUCUAGAAACCUUACUAGGAUGCUUCUUAGAUGAUCCUAAGCUAUUGUUUGCUUAAGGUUGGGAUCGAUUCAUGGGAAAACCCUAAAUGACAAUAUUAGGGCUUGAAUUUGGGGCUUUUGCCCUAGGAUUGUUCGGGGACAAAUUGACCCCGUGGAAACCUAAUUGGGGGUGCCCUAAACACGUUGGGCAACUCCGUUUAACAUUACGAAAAUGAUAGAGUAUAGUCCAUGUACAAAAGGCCUAAUAUGGCACCGUUUUGAUUAUAGGGCGCGGAAGCGGCUUUCGUAAAAUCCGGGAGUCGUCAUAUACUUCACCCACACGAUUACUAGAGGUGGGGGGUGCACGCCGGAAUCGUUGGAUUCCCUUCUAUGUCUGUUUUCUCUAUUCUUGAGCAUAUAUGUUUUAUAUAUACCCAUUCAUGCAUAGUAGGGUAGUUACAUGUGGAACUUGGUUUGACUUCAUUUAUAUGCUUCUAACGUAGUUGAACAUAGAGGAUGAUAGAACCAAAAUGGACAUGUGUGAUUGGACCCUCAAGUUGUGUGAAUGUGAGAAUGGACUUGGACAAUAGAAAACAAGGGUGACAUUGACAUAGAAACAAGAUUUGCAUUGAGAGAUGAACCGUUAAAUAUAGUUUAACCAAUUAUGACAUCGUCAAAGGUAAAGCCUUGAGAGUGGCAAGAAUGAAUAGGUAGAGACCUAUCGUGACAUUGGCAUUGUGACUAGUGGCUAUGAGUCCUCAAGUUGAGGAUUAGAUCGAUACUCACAUUUCGUCUUGGCUUGAGGGAGGUCGCUCCCCCUCGAGCGGUGCGCUCCGGAGUUGGUCACCACUGGGCGUGGUAAAGUCCCACCAGUUGACGGUCCCUAGGGAGGUUCGAGUCCCCCGUUAUUAAGGGAUUUUGGGUUGUGAGUUAUUGGGGUUAACAGAGUUAACCGGUAAGAUUGGGUAAGAGCCAAAGUUUGAUUAUGAUUGGAGCAUGCAUGCAUUUCCAUUAUCGCAUUGAAAUUAUAUAUCUACUGACUUCUUUCUUGCAGGCAUAGUAUUAGUUGCAUUAGUAGUGGUUACUUUUCCUCCUUUGAAAUACUUAUGCCUGGAUGGACCUAGUGGGUAAGUCGGCGAGGUCGGAUGCCGAGCCCACUGGGAACUUCGUUGUAGUUCUCACACCACUAACCCUACAGGUCCUAGCACGAGCGGGGCGGCGGAGGACCGAGGCAAGGGUUUAGCGCCGUAGGUAGCGGCCACCGGAGUAGCAUUACAUUUUGUAGUCAUUUCCCUUUUGGUGUACAUGUAGCAGCUUUAUUUUGUUGAAUUAGAGAUGUAAAGUUGUAAACAAUCAUGUAUUUGGUGGAUGACUAAAUGUAAAAAGAUAUGAGGGUUGAAUGGAAUGUAAUAGUUUUGUUUACUUGAAUUUGGUUUAAAUGAAAUCAAAUAUCAUGUGUGAUGUAUAUUUAGCUUAGAGCUUUCGCUUCCGUUGUGGCUUGCCCUCGCGCAAGCCUUGUAUUAUAUAUGCAAUUCUCUUGUUGAUUGCUUAUUUAUACAUGUUGUUAGAGCCUUGGGCGGACAGGGGAGGCUCUGUCCGUUCGGCAUCUGUUGACGUGACCCGAACACGACCAAAUUGGCGGGGAUCGGGGCGUGACAGAGAAUUACUCUGUUUUGCAGUAGUUCUCACACUCAGUUGUUGACACCUUUUGCAGAGCUCUCGUCUGUGGCUGCUGCUGUAGCACACUGGACCUUUGCAAAUUGCAAGGUUCGAGUGUUCGAUGUGUAUUCCGAACUUUUCCACACUUGGUGGAGGGCCGUCGAUGGUAUACCGGCCUAAAAGUUCGAUCUCGAGACUUUUGGCAGAGUCCUGAGAGUUUUUACUCUCGGAGACCGGUCCCUGAUGGGAGAGACCGGUCCCCCAGUGAACAGUGCAGCGUAGCCGGCAAGGCAACCGGUCCCGCGCGGGGAGAGACCGGUUCCCGAACGCUGGAUUUUCGGGUUCGCAGCGAGAGACCGGUCCCUGCUGGGGAGAGACCGGUCCCUCUGGGCGGAAACUGCCCAGUUCGGGCUGAUGUAAAUUGGACUUUUUGAGGGGCCUAGCUGGAUUUUGUUACAAGAGAAGGCUUAUAUGGCCACUUCUCCUUCUCCUCUUCUCACUUCACCAUUUCUUUUGCUUCUAGAGAGAGAAAGGGAAGGAGAAGCAGAAGAAGAAGAGGAGAAGAGCUUGCAUAGAGGCCUUGGAGCAUUACCGUUUUCCCCAUUUCUCACCUUUGGUGACUUUGCACUUGCGGUUGGAGCUUUGUGAGGAUCAAACCUCAACCCUACUUGGUUUGAGCUUGGAUUGGAGCUUCUUGAGGUUGGUAGCUAUAAUCCCCAUUGAUACAUAUUUUCUAGGUUUUACUAGAUGAAACCUCUAGAUUUUGGGAUUUAGGGUUUAUUUUGGGGGUUUUGGAUUUGAGCUUCUUGUUCAUUUGAAUGGUUUGGAACCCUUAAAUAGGUUAGAUUGGAGUCUCUUACCUUACAUUUGAGGAUUAGAGAGGGUUUUUCCACUUGAGGUGAGUUUUUGCUCAACCCUAGUUUGAGUUGGUUAAUAUUGAGCUACUUGCUCUUCGUUUCGUUUGGUGACCCUAUUUUUGAUGUUCUACGGGUAACUGAGGGAGCUUGUGGAUACGCAUUCGUUCGGCGAAACGAAGAAGUCGAUUCUUUCGGUGGGUUUGGCUUCGUGGAAAUGGGGCGAAAUGGCCCCUAUGCUCUUUCUACUUGUUGUAAAUUAUUUUUAAGUUCAUUUCUAUGCUAAAUGGGAUCUAUAUGAAUUUUAGAACACUUAACAUGCAUAUCUCAUGUAUCAUAAAAUUUGUACUCCAUAUAGUAGAGCUAUAUGCGUAGAUUGCAUGCAUUGUGGAUAGUGCUUUGUUUUGUGAGUCGAGAACAUGUCUCCAUGCUAAAAUUGAGUGAACUAUGCAUCUUAAACAUAUUAAUGCCAUGCUUGGGACUCGUAGCACAAAAGUGUUAUAAAGAGGCAUUUGGAAUUAGUAAACUAUAAAAUGCAACUUAGAGACAUGAGGGUGGGCCAUUGUACGUCUGCUAUAUAUCCCAUGUUAGAGACAUGAUGACAUAGAGAUAGGCCUUUGGGACUUUCGAUUCAUUCCAUGUUAUUAGACAUGAGGACCUUGUACUUGCGACAGAUCGUUUGACUACUUGCCAUUGUGCUCUUUCGCACAUGCUUGUGAGGGUCGCUCCCUACAAGCCGGCACUCCGGAGAUGGCCAUCGCGAUUCAUAUUCGCCGUGCGGGAUUGGGCGCCGAAGUGGAUUGACGUGGGACAGGCUCAUUCCUAGGGUGGGGAUGAUGACUACCACGGGGCUAGUAGGCUUUGCAUCGGCCAGACAGCCUACGGGUGGGUCUCAAGGCCAUAGACAGCCUUCGGGUGGGUCUCUUCAGAUUUGACUUUGUGUAUCCAUUAUGAUAUGUGGACAGAUGAUGACUUAGUAUACUACUUGGAUAUUGGCUAGAAUAGUAAACAAUGGAACUUUACUAUUUUGCAUCGUGAACAUUAUGACAGUUGGAGACAUUUUUACUUCAUGCAUAGUUAUUUUCAUACUUAUGCUAUUUGUACUAAGUAGAGAUAUCAUGUUGUAGUAAGUUACACAUUUACUUGCCUUUCGCUUUCCUACGUUAUAGUCACUGACAUCUAUUGUAGCUUUGGGCCUUGUGGUGCAUUCACUGAAGUCAGUAAUUGCCCACUGGGAACUAUUCUUAAUAGUUCUCACGCCCCUGUUUCUAUGUUUCCUUUUCAGAGCCUUCGGCACCAGCGGAGGCACGGGAUCGCGGCAAGGGUGUCGCGUAGCUAGCUCGCGGAGAGUUCUUUCGCCUAGGUGGUCUACUCCUCCAUUUUAUAUUUUGAGAGAGUGUGAGGUUUUGUACCCUGUAUAGAGAGACCACCUUGUACUCCUUUUAGCUUUUGUUAUGGGAUCCCUAUUGUACUUACUUUAUGCCUUAUUUAGUGGAUUUACAGUUUUAUCCUUAUUCCUUGUUGUAGCAUUUAGACAUUUAUUAUGCUCUGAUACUCCUAGAUGUCUCUUAUUACGGCUUUUAUUAUUGUUAUUUUUAGACGCCUUAUAUGUUGUAGACAUAUGGCGGGUCUGGGCACGCGCCGGGCGGGCUUCCGCUGGGUCCCGGGGCGUGACAGCUGCUGUUGCUGAUUUUGACCGCGGAAAGAAAGUCGCGAGCUAGAUCCCUACUAGUCGUGUCGCCGUACUAGAGGAGUACCCUUCGCAGGUAGUUUUGAGGUGUUUUGGUUCAUGUAUAUACCUUACGUUUUGUUUACUCGCUGGAGCGAGGUGUAGUUAUGAGUGUUGUAUGUACAGUGAAUCCUUAGCGUUUAUAUAUACAUGCGUUAAUUUAGCAGCUCUAUACUUCUAGUUGUAGCUAUGAUUUGAUUACAGGUACAACUAUCGUUUUGUAUACACGAAAAAAUUCCUCUGUAUACGGCGGGUCUGUUGGCGCGCCCGGAAAAACGUAGUAGUUCAGGGUGUGACAGUGAUUAAUGAUAUAUAUUUAUAUAUAUGAGGAUAUAUUAUAUAUUAACAAAAUAUUUAGUUCCAUAUUAGAAUAUAUUAAAUAGUAUUAUUAUAUAUAUAAUUAAUUAAUUAUGUAUGUCUAUGAGUAAAUAUAUGGUACAUAUUAUUAUAUAUAGCUAAUUAGUUAUGUACAUUACACUUACUAAAUAUAUAUUAUUUUAAAAAUUUUUUAAAAAUUAAUUAGACAUUCUAUUUACAUAACUUCAGAAUAAUUUGAAAAUUUUAAAAUAUCACAAUGCUCCUUUAAAAAUCACAUAUACCUAAUUAAUUAAACGUUCUAGCUUUACGUGAGAAGUUCCUAUCCUAUUAUUUACUUUGUAGGAUCGCUAGCAUCCAAGUAGGAGUGAAGAUUGUGAAAGCAUAUUUUCUACUUGUCUAAGUCUUAGUUUUAGUUCAUUAAUUUUCUUUGUUUGGUCUUAUUUUACUGAUGGAUAAUUAUUGGCAGACGUUAAUGGUUCUAUAUUUAAAUGUUACAUAAUAUUUUUGAUGAUGAAUCAACCCAGUUAAAAUAGAUAUUUUAUUUUACUUUAUACCUAGUAUUUAUGUUAUUAUGUGAUCAAAUGCAUAAAAUGAGGAUCAUUAAAAGUCCGAUGGUAUUGGCUGGGCUUGGGUUGAGACAGGCCUUAAUUUUCAAAAAAAUUAGGUAAAAAGCAGACUCGAAAAUCCAACAUUUUUCUAUAUUGGGAUUCGAGGUUGGCAUAGUAUUAUCGACUUAAGUCCGUUUCAGUUACUACUAUGUGAUGUGAUGUUUAGAUAAUUGAAAAAAAACAGUUAAGAAAGAGCAAUGCUGAUGAAAAGGUGAUUGAUUAGAUUUGGGAAUUUUUUACCUCGAUGAAGAAGCGGUCCAGAUCCAAAUCAGCACAAACCAAACACACAAAAGACCGCCCAAUCAACCACCUCAAUCCAGCCAACACACCGAAACCGAAGAAAAAGAAGGAGUUAACCAUAAGAGGUGGUGACUCGGUUUGGUUCCAACAAAAGAAGAGAAAGUUGAGUGUAUCGAGUGGAUUAUACUCGCCAGAUCAGUGCUCCGGUUCAGCACCAUGAAGAAGAAAUCUGUUAUAUCAGAAAUACAUGUAGAGUCCCUGUGUUUGGCGUUUAGGGGUUAGAUAGAAGCUCUGAGAGAAGUGUCGGCAAGUCUGUAGUUGCCAUUGGCCGUGAAUGCGCAAAAUUUGACACUGCGAGUUGAGAAGAAUUGGCAAAGAAUAUGCAAUUGCAAGUUUCUUGAUUGCAGAUGUACGGUACAGCAGAUGGCACAUGUCUACGGUACACUGCAUAUGGGAGACUGCGAGGGCGACAAGUCGCUCUCGGGUUGGUUANNNNNNNNNNNNNNNNNNNNNNNNNNNNNNNNNNNNNNNNNNNNNNNNNNNNNNNNNNNNNNNNNNNNNNNNNNNNNNNNNNNNNNNNNNNNNNNNNNNNCUUUGGGGGACCGGUCUCUCGGGGACCGGUCUCUCAGGCAGGGACCGGUUCCCGAGAGCUAAUUUCUCAGGACUUAGCCGAUUUUUCGGCUGUCUCAUUUCAUACGCGUUCGGGGACCGGUCUCUCCCACCAGGGACCGGUCCCCGAGAGCUCAAAAUCUGCAGCUUUGCAGAUUUGGUUCUAUAGCUCUCGAAAACCUCCCGUAACUCACUUUUAAUCAUUUUAACACCUUCGGACUUUCCGAAGUGUACCAUCCUCGCACUUUGGUCAAUUUGACUAAAGUUCGACAUUUUUAUUUUUUCGAAUUUUCGGUAUAUUAUAUUUUCCACCCCUUAAAACAAUUUCGUCCGCGAAAUUACGCAUACCUUAACUCGUCGACUCAAAUAGAUGCGGAUACUCUCUCCGCAUGGUUUCCUCGAGCUCCCAUGUGGCUUCUCGCGUCGUGUGGUUGCUCCAUUGGACUUUUACAUACGGAAUCUUGCGACUUCGCAACUUCCUCACUUCUUUAUCGAGGAUGCACACAGGGUACUCCUCAUAGGACAUGUCUUCACGUAGCUCCACGGGCUCGUACUCUAAUACAUGUGUCGCGUUUCGGAUGUACUUUCGGAGAUUCGACACAUGAAAAACAUUGUGAACUCCCGCGAGUCUCGGUGGUAGUGCGAGCUUAUACGCCACCGCACCCACACGUUCUAAUAUCUCAAACGGUCCGACAUAACGGGGACUUAGCUUCCCACGGACCCCAAAUCGUUUGACUCCUCGCAUCGGCGAUACUCUUAAGAAUACACGGUCUCCAACCGCAAACUUUAAAUCCUUUCUUCGCUUGUCAGCAUAACUCUUUUGCCGAGAUUGCGCCGUCGCUAACCGUUGACGGGCAAGGCGAACUUUCUCUUCCGCCUCCCGCACCACAUCCGGGCCAAGAGCCGUUCUCUCGCCCACGUCGCUCCAAUGGAUAGGAGAACGACACUUACGUCCAUAUAGUGCCUCAAAAGGCGCCAUCGCUAUGCUUUCCUGAUAACUAUUGUUAUAGGCGAACUCCGCCAUAGGCAAGAAAUCAUGCCAUCCUCCUUUAUAAUCUAGCACACACGCUCGAAGUAAAUCCUCAAGGAUUUGUAUUGUUCGCUCCGACUGUCCAUCACUCUGAGGAUGAAACGCUGUGCUAAAAUCGAGCCGUGUGCCUAGCGCGUCUUGCAAACUCUUCCAAAAGUGGGAUGUGAACCUGGGGUCGCGAUCCGAUACGAUCGACACUGGAACCCCAUGAAGUCUCACAACCUCGUCGAGAUACACUUGAGCUAACUUGUCUCCCGACCACGUAGUAUGUAUCGGCAAGAAGUGUGCCGACUUUGUCAAUCGAUCCACUAUCACCCAUAUCGCAUCGUGUCCGCCUUGUGAUCCGAGGCAAACCGGUGACAAAGUCCAUUGCUAUGUCUUCCCAUUUCCAAACGGGUAUUGGUAGACUUUGUAGCUUUCCCGUCGGAAAUCGGCGCUCAGCUUUUACUUGCUGGCACGUUAGACAUUGCGCCACGAACUCCCCGAUAUCUCUUUUCAUACCCGGCCACCAAUAGUGCUCUUUCAAAUCCUUGUACAUUUUAGUGCCACCGGGGUGUAUACUAUAGGGAGAUUGGUGCGCUUCUUGCAUAAUCGCCCUUCGUAACUCAUCAUCCUUAGGCACACACCAUCGAUUUCGAAAUCGAAGUGCGCCAUCGGCUCCCAUGCCAAAAUCUUCGGCUUUACCGCUCUCAACAUCACCUCGAACCUUUUGGAGAUAAGGUUCCGAAGCUUGUAACGCUCUAAUUCUUUCCAAUAGGGUCGGUUGCACAACUAAUGCGGCAAGUGUAGCCGGCACUCCUGGCGCUACCACUUCCAACCCAAAUCUCUGCAUCUCCUUUUGCAAUAGCGGUUGAGGCGUAAUUGCCGUCGCUAAGCUCUCCGCCAAUUUUCUACUCAAGGCAUCGGCCACAACAUUGGCUUUCCCGGGGUGGUAUAGUAUAGUGACAUCGUAGUCCUUUAGCAACUCUAACCACCGCCGCUGUCGGAUGUUCAACUCUUUCUGGGUGAACAAGUACUUUAAACUCUUGUGAUCGGUGUAUACCUCACAAUGUUCACCAUAUAAGUAAUGCCUCCAAAGCUUUAGCGCGAAAAUCACCGCGGCUAACUCAAGGUCGUGAAUCGGGUAAUUCUUCUUAUAGCCCUUUAAUUGGCGCGAUGCAUAAGCAAUAACUCGCCCAUUUUGCAUUAAUACACACCCGAGACCAACAUACGAGGCAUCACUAUACCCUACAAAAGUCUCUCCCGGAGUCGGCAAAGCAAGCACCGGGGUCGACGUCAACCUGUUCUUUAACUCCUCGAAGCUUUGAUCGCAAUCGUCGCUCCACACGUACUUUACUCCUUUAUGCGUGAGGCGCGUUAGUGGAGUGGUUAUUUUGGCGAACCCCUCCACGAACUGCCGAUAGUAGCCCACCAGUCCAAGAAAACUGCGGAUCUCCGCUACAUUCGUCGGGCGAGGCCAAUCCUUGAUCGCCUCUACUUUCUUCGGGUCUACUGACACUCCGUCGCCCGAUACCACAUGACCAAGAAUGUGACCUCCUUUAGCCAAAAGUCACAUUUCUUUAACUUUGCAUAGAGCUUCUCCUGUCUGAGUAUUUGCAACACCGCUCUCAGAUGCUCUUCAUGCUCCUCUUCGCUCUUCGAAUAGACCAAUACGUCGUCUAUAAACACUACGACGCAUCGAUCCAACAACGGCCUAAAGACUCGAUUCAUCAAGUCCAUAAAUGCUGCCGGGGCAUUAGUAAGCCUAAACAGCAUUACCGUGAACUCAUAAUGGCCAUACCGCGUACGAUACGCCGUUUUGUGCACAUCCUUCGGCCUGAUCUUUAACUGAUGAUACCCCGAUUGGAGAUCAAUCUUCGAAUACACUUUGAACCCUUGCAACUGAUCGAAUAGAUCGUCAAUCCUUGGCAACGGGUACUUGUUCUUUAUCGUUACUUUGUUCAACUCGCGAUAAUCUACGCAGAGUCGAAGUGUACCAUCCUUUUUCUUCACGAAUAGCACCGGAGCUCCCCACGAUGACACACUCGGCCUCACGAAGCCCUUAUCGAGCAAGUCUUGUAGUUGACCUUUUAGCUCCUUUAACUCCACCGGUGCCAUUCUAUACGGGGCCUUCGAAACUGGUUCCGCCCUGGGAAUCAAGUCAAUGACAAACUCAACUUCCCGGUCCGGUGGCAGUCCCGGUAACUCCGCCGAAAAUACAUCCGGGUACUCACAUACUACUCGAAUAUCUCCCAACUCUGGGUACUCCUUUCGAGCAUCCACCAUGGUUGCCAAAUAGGCCUUACACCCUCCUUUGAUCAUUUUCUUCGCCCUUACAGACGAUAUGGUCGCCGCAAAGCGCCUACUUUUGCACGCUUGGUAGACUAACUCUUCUUGAUUAGGCUCACGAAAAGUGAUCACCUUGCUUUCACAAUCUAUCACCGCAUAGUAUUUGGAGAGCCAAUUGGUCCCCAAGAUAACAUCAAAUCCCCACAUCUGAUCUAGCACUAACAGAUCAAUCGGCAUGAUCCAAUCGCCUAUCUGCACUGGACACGCCAAACACUCGUUAUGAACACUGAAUGAAUGUUCUGGGGCGUUCACCCACCAGUAAUCCUCAUUGUAUACCAUCUCUAUGCCAUGUGUUUUAGCAAAUGAAGUGCUAAUGAAUGAAUGAGAUGCGCCUGUAUCAAACACUGCUCUAGCUCUAGUGCCUUUAAUCACAAUUAUACCUGCCACGACGUCGUCGGGUGCUGCAAGUUGUUGCUCCUCCACCUGAGCGACAAAGACUCGACCGCUAGGCGCUCUCGAUCCCUCCGGCUGACGCGGUGAUGACGCGCGCCCAGCCGACAUCGCCGGUGGUAACCCCGAAAGCUGUCUCGGGGUAGUCGGUGCUGAUGCCGCCGUCGGCGUAGACGACGUCCACGACGGGCACUCCCGGAUAAGAUGUCCCGGUUGGCCACACUUGAAACAUUUGCCGUCUCGCUGCGGGCAAGUCGACACCUUGUGCUCACCGCCACAUAUGACGCAUCGAGGUGGUCUCCAGUUCCUCGACUGCUGUCGGGGAUACCGAGGGGGUUUCUUAGCAUUUGGCCGGCCCCCGGCACCACCCGCCGUCCUCUUCUUGCCUUCGUCCUUGGACUCGGCCAUAGCUUCUCGUUCUUCACGUACAUGGGCGCUACCGUGCUCCGCCCACAAGGCUCGAUCGAAGACCUCCGCAAAGGUCGACAACUUCAGAAUCUGCACCUUUUCAUAAAUCCGGGGUUGGAGUCCUCGCAAGAACCAAUCCGCCCGGUCCCGAUCAUCACGAAAAACAUCGGGAACGCAGUCAAUAAUGUGGGAGAAUUCUUGCUCAUACUCUCCCACCGAUCGAUCACCCUGUCUCAACUUGCGGAACUUUUCUUGCAACUUCCGCUUCGUCGUGUCGGGGAAGUAGUUCCCGAACACUGCUCUCUUGAAUUCUUCCCAAAGCAUGAGCGGAAGGUCGGUAGGACGAUCCCGCUUCACUCGCUUCCACCACACCUUUGCCGCCUUCUUAAGACAAUGGGUGGCGAGGUACACUUUCUCCUUCUCCAAGGUAUUCAAAUCCUCGAAGAGCGUCUCCAUUGAGUCGAUCCACGACUCCACAACCGCCGGCUCCACCAAACCGCCCUCGAAGGUAGGUGGGUCGAACUUCUUGAACUGAAUGAGAGCCGCCAAGGUGCGCUCUCGCUUCGCAUCGACUGCCGCGCUAUCGGGAUUCGAGGUUCCCGACCCGGCCGGUACUACCGUAACUGGAACAGCCGCCGCUGCCGCCGCUCCCUCAACAACACUCGGCACCACCACAGGGGGCGCGACAUGCUCGACACCCGCCUGGGCUGCCGCCGCCUGCUGGCGCUCCAAGGUCUCCUGGAGCCGAUGAAUCUGUUCCCCUUGGCGUUGAACAGACUCCGCUUGUUGCCACACUAUGCCAAUAAGCGCGGCCAUUUGUUCCCUAAGCUCUCCGUCGCCACUCGCUCCGGAUUGCUCGGGCACCGCAUUCGUUUCCUCCGGCAUCGACCUUGUCUGCGAUCGACGUCGAGGUGCCAUUGCUUCCUGAAAAGAAGCAACUCGCAUUAGUCACUUGACCAACAUUACUAGACCAUACCCAAUUAGGCGAAAGCAACAUGCACAUUCAUCCUUGCUUCAAGCGUUAUGUCGUCGGCCGCCCGACACAACACUAGGAGUAGAGGAUAAACGAAAAUUAAACUUAGCCUCUAAUCACAUUAGAGACGUCCCUACUUAACCCAAUCAUAUGCUUUCGCUAACUUUGAUCCCACGUCACUCACGUUUCCUAGAUCCUUAAGGCCUUCCAAUCCUAAGGGUCUCUAGGUCCAUUCCUAUUCUUUCACUAUUGGCUCUGAUACCACGAUAUCUGUCACGCCCCGGGACCGAUGCCAAUUUGGCCCGACCCGAGCACGUCAAACAGACGCCGGACGGACAGAGUUUUUCCUAUCCGCCCAAGGCUCAUCACAUGUACAUUUUCAUCAUUAGAGAAAAGCACUAGCGGAAACAUACACAAACGGCUUACACGAGGGUAAGCAAUAGCCAUUAGUGAAAGAAAAAGGAAACUAAACAUUCACAAGUAAUAUGAUUCAUUUUAGAUCAUAUACAUUGCAUCCAUCUCUUACAUUUAGGAUUCUUUGCAUUUCAUUACAUGAUUUCAUCAUUUCUUUCUUACAUCACAUUUACCUCAAAAUAAGCUUUACAUUCUUUUCUUUACAUCACUAAUCAUCAAGUACAAAAGAUGAUAAAAUGGUGUCUACUAACAAAAUGUAACCGAACUUUGGUGGCCUCUGACUAAGGCGCGAUACCUUUACCUCGGUCGCUCGCCGGCUCGCUCGGUCCCGACUUUGUGGAAAUAGUGGGGUGAGAACUACAACAAAGUUCCCAGUGGGUUCGGCCUCAACAUCACCGACUUUCCCACUAGGACUAACUCAGGCAUAAUAGAAAGGAUAAGCUGAAAUAUAGUAACCAAUCUACAACAUGAUGCUAAUAUGCCUGAACAAAAGCAAGGAAUAUGCUCAACAUUAAUAUAUGCAGAUUAUGCAAGUUCUUUCGUUCUUUAUCUUUACACUUUGUUCUUUGUUCUUUACUCUUUGUUCUUUAUUCUUUAAUCUCAAGGCUAACCCGGGGGUUUCGCCACGUUAACUUGCUUUACAUUAAGUCCAUCAUCGCAGGAACUCACCCGCUAGGACCGUCCUUCGGGUUUACUCCAACCCGUGAUGCAUAACUCCGGAGCGCAUCGCCCGAGGGGGAGCGACCGCCCUCGAGCACGGAACUCAUAGCAAGUAUGAUCGAAUCCUUAACUCAAAGGAUUUAUAAGUUCAAUCUUGACUUUACACUAGCUCUAGUGUUCUUUCAUCACUUUACGUUGCCAACUCUAGCAAUCAUUGUUCUUUACUUUUCUUUUACUCUUGCUAUCUUUAGCAUUCUUGUUCUUUACAUUUCUUAUUCUUAUUGCCCCACUUUAUUUUAACUUUACACAUUGUCAUUUUUAUCAUUCUUUACAUCACUUUGGUUCUUUGGCUCACACUAACUCUAGUGUCACUUUACUUUACGUUUUCAAAUGCCACUCGAUCUAUGUCAUUGUGUCACUCUGUUCUUUUGCUCACUUUGGGUGCUCACUUUUCUCUCAUGCAUACACAUAGGGUUCUAACAUUCAUAAGGUUCUCAUUCAUUAAUUAUGCAGGUUGUACUCACAAUCAUGCAAUCAUCACAUUUUAUCAUUACUUUAUCCUAAAAUGCAUGCAACAAUAUAGGUACAUAUGCUCAAUCGAAUGACACAUUAGGCAUAGAGGGAGUUCAACGAGUUUGAGAAGCACCACCCACCUCGUAGGCUCUCAAAGGUGCUCCGAUGAUUUUCUUGGAAUUUUUAGACUCUUCGUUCCUUACCUGCGGCAUAACGAAGCAAAAUUAGGCUUAAUUGGCCAUAACUUUACAUCGGCUUUUCGUAACAUUAAUCCGAGCGCACCAACGCGUCGGAAAUACCCCCAAUUAGGUUUUUAGAGGGUCAAUUGCACUUAGAAACCCUCAUGAGUAAAAGCCCCAAUUUUGGUGCCCUAGCUCCAAUGUAUAGCAAAACCUAGGGUUUGAUCUCUUUGGGAAGCAAAAGUAGCUUCACUAUACUCUAAAUAGUCCAUUAGAAUCAUUCUUAGGCUUUCCAAAACCCUAGAUUAGAUUUCACCAUUAGAGGUGGGUUGAAGCUCACCUUAAGCUCAACCAUGGUUUUGAUCCUUAAAAAGCAAAGAGAAAGCUUCGAAUUACUAGAUAUUCCAUUAGAAACCAUUUCUAGGUUCAUUCAAACCCAUUUCUAGGGUUUUACUAUAUUAGGGUUCAAAGCUUACCUUGUAAGCUUCCUUUCCUUGCACUAGAGAAGAGGGAGAUGGAGCCUCUUUGCUCCAAAAGCUUCUUCUUCACCUUCUUUUUCUUCUUUUCCUUUCUUUUCCUUUGCCUUCUUCUUCUCCUUCUUUGUCUUCUAGAGAGAGAAAGAGAGGAGAGAGUGUGAGAGGGUGAGAAUGAGAGAAAUGUCUCAUUUACCCCAAUACUAUACUCAAUGGGUUGCAAAAUUGCAGCUAAACCCCUCAACUUUCACUUUAAUACACUGCCCGAACUGGGCAGUUCGCGCAGGCAGGGACCGGUCUCUCCUUCAGGGACCGGUUCCCGAACGUCGUCCCAGCGCAGUCAGAGCUGCGGCGCGCAGUGCAACCGGUCUCUCUUUGGGGGACCGGUCUCUCGGGGACCGGUCUCUCAGGCAGGGACCGGUUCCCGAGAGCUAAUUUCUCAGGACUUAGCCGAUUUUUCGGCUGUCUCAUUUCAUACGCGUUCGGGGACCGAUCUCUCCCACCAGGGACCGGUCCCCGAGAGCUCAAAAUCUGCAGUUUUGCAGAUUUGGUUCUAUAGCUCUCGAAAACCUCCCGUAACUCACUUUUAAUCAUUUUAACACCUUCGGACUUUUCGAAGUGUACCAUCCUCGCACUUUGGUCAAUUUGACUAAAGUUCGACAUUUUUAUUUUUCCGAAUUUUCGGUAUAUUACAUAAACCCUAUUGGGAGCAGCGCCAAGGAGCUGGAGCCAAAAUUAGGCUAACUCAUGCUCGGGUCUAGCAGUGUGUAGGGAGGGCGGCCAGAGGGUGAUGGGCAGUGCCGACGAUGAUACCAGAGGUCAGAGAGAGGACCUCAAAGCUCGUUGGUUCACAAAGCAACAAGAAGAAGUGCCCCGCCCUGGGGUUCUUUUGGAAAUCACUUUUAGGAAAACUAGCGAAAAACGUAUAGAUUUUUUUUUUUUGAAAACACAUUUGAGAACAUCCCAUAAACAUACACAGACCCACCACAUGGACAAAGAAUUUUCUGUAUAACGGACAAAGUCUCCUUUGUACAUGCACGAUAUAGUACCAUAGUACAAAGUCAAGCACACACACAACCACACAACACAAACAUUCUAAAAAUUAUUAAAUAACAAUAAUCCCAGAAUAAUAAUUAUCUACAUCUAUUCACUGAUAUAAAAACAUUAACAGGUAAAUGAAUUAAACUAAUCCAACAGGCAGGAAAAGCUAAACCAAAUAUUAGAUAUAAGGGUCUAUGAGGACCAAUCAAGAACUCAACUACUUAGUAUCAUUCUAACGCACUGUCCCAAUCUUCACCUCCCGCGUCACCUGAAAAGUGGUUGGGUGAGAACAUCUAAACAUGUUUUCCCUCACAGUGUGUAUCGAAAGCCGACGAAGGCAAGUUGUACUCAUCCUUUAAAAGAUAUUUACACUGUUUGAAAAAUAUUUACACAGUUUCUUCUUUUGUUGCAUUGUUUUUUCUUUUGUUACACUAUUUCUUCUCUUUAUUGCACUCUUUAAGAGGAGAAACAGUACAACAAAAGUAGAAACAGUGCAACGAGAGGAGAAACAGGGUAAAUAUCUCUUAAAGUGUGCAACUUGUAUCUAAAAGAAUGCAACAAGAGAAAAAAUAAUGUAAAUAUCUCUCAAAAAGUACAAAUUUUGUUUAAAAAGUAUAAAUUUCAUCUUAAAGGAUGCAGUUUACAUAUCAAAGAAAUGCAAUAGGAGAAAUAGUGUAAAUAUCUUCCAAAUAGUGCAAUUUUUAUUUAAGAAGUAUAACUUUCAUCUUAAAGUGUGCAGUUUACAUCUCAAAUAGUGAAACUUACGUUCAUAAUAGUGCAACGUUCUUUUAAAACAGUGUAAUUUUAUUUUAACAAUACAAUUUCAUCUUCGUCUUUCUUCUUUCAUAAUUUUUUGUCUUUAUUUUUUCUUCUUCCUUCUUCUAUAAUUUUUUUUUGGGUCAUGCCUCUCUACCAACGGACACUACGCCGGCGACGACGUCGCUAAGGACCCCCCGCUCUGAGGCUGCGGCCCCACAAUGACCUCUGCGGUGUUAGCAUUGGCGAAAAGGCGUUGUCAUCGGAGGCGACGGAGGAGGAAGGAGAGGGAGAGGGAGAGGGCGAGAAGAGCAGGAAAGAGCGAGAGAGGACAAGAGAGGCGUCAUCGUCAAAGAUAGGGGAGGAGGGUUGGAGAGGAAAAAAAAAAAAAAGAGUUGCGGCGCGGCCUCAGAGAGGUUGGAGGUGAGGAACGUCAGGGAUGAGCGCGGACAAGGGUGAGCGCGAGGGCGAGGGCGAGGGCGAGGGCGAGGGCGAAGGCGAGGGGAUGAGGGUGAGAGGCGACGCAGGCCGUUUCUACCUUUGCCUCUGCCGUCGCUGCCUUAUUUGGCGAGAGAAAAAAAAGAUGUACGGGAGAAAAAAAAAAAAAAAGGAGAAAGAAAAAGUAAUAAGAAUAUUUUAGUCAGUUUGCUAAAAAUUCGGACCGAAUCUGCAAAAUCAUNCUUCUAUAUUUUUUUUUGUCACCCGUCUCUGCCAGCGCCGACGACAACGCCGCUAAGAACCCCUGCUCUGAGGCUGCAGCGCCGCAGCAACGUCCAGGAGCGUUGGCGAAGAUGCGUCGUCUUCGAAUACGGCAGAGGAGGAAGGAGAGGGAGAGGGCGAGAAGGGCGAGAGAGGCGUCGUCAUCGGAGAUGGUGAAGGAGAAUCGGAGAUGAAAAAAAAAAGAGUUGCGGCGCGGCCUCAGAGAGGUUGGAGGUGAGGAACGUCAGGGAUGAGCGCGGACAAGGGUGAGCGCGAGGGCGAGGGCGAGGGCGAGGGCGAGGGCGAAGGCGAGGGGAUGAGGGUGAGAGGCGACGCAGGCCGUUUCUACCUUUGCCUCUGCCGUCGCUGCCUUAUUUGGCGAGAGAAAAAAAAGAUGUACGGGAGAAAAAAAAAAAAAAGAGGAGAAAGAAAAAGUAAUAAGAAUAUUUUAGUCAGUUUGCUAAAAAUUCGGACCGAAUCUGCAAAAUCAAAAAAGGUGGUCCAGUUUUGCAAAAGCUGAAAGUUUGUGAUUUUUUUUAAUGCAAAUUGGCCAUUAGAAUUGUUGGUGAAAAUUGAUAGCACCAUUAGAAAAAAAAAAUUGCAACCAAAAUUCAGGCUUUUAUAGGUAGUAAUUAGAAUAGAAAUAGAUAGAUAAUAUAUUUUAAUUAAUAUAUAAUUGUAACACUUGCAUGAAGUAUACCAAUUAAGCUUAUAAAGAUAACUGUUUAAAAUUUGAAGUCACAGUAUCAUUAAGUAACCCAAAUGAAAUAAAAUUGAAGAAUUAAGUUGUAAAAUUAAAAUUUUAAAAUGUUAGAUAGUCACAUCAAAAUGAUUUAUAGUUUGUAGAGAUGUCAAUGGAUAUGGAUAAUAUAAAUUUUAUUCAAAUCUGAAUCCGAAUCCGAGCAAAGCGGAUUUACUUGAUACUAAAUAGAUAAAGUUUCGAAUAUAGAUGUCAAAAAUAAAAAAGCCAACGGAUCUAAAUUCGGGUAUGGAAACCCGAAUUAAUUUGAAAUUAUAUAUAUAUAUAUAUAUAUAUAUAUGUUUGAUGUUGUAUUAGAAUUUGUAUUUUUAAAAUUUACAUUUAUAUAUAACAUAUUUUAAAAUAUUAUAAAAAAUAAUUGUUUCGGAUUUAAAUUUCACAUUUUUACUUAGAUUUGAAUUUGAAUAUAAAUUUUUAAAAUCAUCUGAUUCGAAUUUAAAUUCUAAAUUUGAUAUGAAGUUCUGAUUUGAAUUUUCUGAUAUCCUAAUUUGGACAAGUUUUUUCGUUUUUACCUAAUAUAUUUAAUCACCGGUCUCAGAAGUUUCCCCGACCUAAACAGCUCCCGGUGUAAAAUCUCGCCAACGUUCUCCUUUCUUCUCCUCCUCUUCCGGCUCGUCAAAAACCCCUGAACCCUAACCCUAAAAUCCGAGAAAUGAAUCGACAAUAUCGGAGCUAAAACCGGAGGAAUCAAGGAAGAAGCAAUGGGGAUCCCCGCAUUCUACCGUUGGCUCGUCGACCGCUACCCCCUCUCCGUCGUGGAGGUGAUCGAGGAAGCUCCCAAGGUCGUCAAUGGCGUCCGAGUCCCCGCCGACUCCACGGGCCCGAACCCUAACGGCGUAGAGUUCGACAACCUCUAUCUCGACAUGAAUGGGAUCAUCCACCCUUGCUUCCACCCCGAAGACCAGGUUAAAAUCCAUUGCUUUCCGUGAAACAACCGGUUACUUUAACGGGCCGUUUGUUUCACGGUUUUUUAUAUUUCGGGAAUGAGUGAAGUGCUCUACUAGUUCCUGAACUUCGAGUCAAACUUUUGUUUUCGACGGUUGAGAUCAUGAACUUUCUAUAAGAUUUCAAUGUAACAAGUAAACCUUCAACAGUACUCUAUUUUGAUCCUUACCUUAGAGUAAAAAUUGUUGCAUGCACCUAAUUCAUUUGUAUGUUCGUAUACCAUAAAUUCAUCGGUCCUUCACGGAUCUUAUAAUUUCAAUUGAACGGUCCAAUUUAUAUGUAGAGCAAAAAUUGCUACACGUUAGGUGGUAAGGUUGAAAUACGAGAUGCAAUAAAUAAUAGAUAAAUGUAUGGUAUAUUCAUAUGCAGAUACACUAGCCAUAGGCAAUAAUAAUUUAUUCAAGAUUGUUAAAUCGCCACUUGUGCAACUCACAUUAGGAAGAUGUACAAGAUGUUGGCGAAGUGAUUAAAUCAUCCUAGAUUGCCACAGGAUAGAGGAUUUUGUCAUUCCCACGCUUGAUGGGAAUGAGUAGCCCAUUAACAAGAAUGCACAACUUACUUAUAUCCUCCUAACCCAAGUGGCAUGGUGAAAAUCUUGAAAAUAUAAUAUAUACAACAGUCUCGGAAUAUUACAAAGCUGUGAGGCGAAUGGCCCCUAAAAGCUUUAAGUUGUAUGCUGGUUUUUAAUAUUUUAUAAUCAAUGCUCUCUGUCACAUUCGGGUUUAAGGGCCUGUUUGGCCUAGCUUCUGAAAAAGUGAUUUCUGAAAAAGUGAUUUUGGUUUAGAAAAGUGAUUUCUGUUAAAAGCUGUAGAGCGUUUGGCUGAGUCUGAUAGAAAAGUGAUUGUGCUGAAGUGAUUUUAGAAAGCUAUUUGGCAAAUAUUUUUUGCUGAAGUGAUUUUGUAAUGCUAUUUAACAUUAGUUAUUUUUAAAACACACUAAUAUCACAUGCCAAUAUUUCAAGUUAUAAAUAACUAUUUAAUAUAACAAAAGUGUAUCUGAAUAAAACUAAAUCCAAACAAUAUGUAAUUUGCCUUUCUCAUAAAACUGAGGAACUGAAGGACUUGCCUGCUAUGAUAAUACUUUCUAGCCAGGCAAGUACCAAAACGAUAAAUUUUUUUGGAUGUCACCAACAAGAUGAAUUAGAUAACUUGUUGAUGAGUAUAAAUUUUGUUGUUAUUAAUGUUCUCUUCUAUUGUGUCUUGACUUUGAGAUCCAAGCUCAAAACAAAAAAACACACAUCAACUUAAUAUGGCUUACUAAAAUAAAAAACCAAGCUUAGAUAUUCAACAACAGAAAAGCUAGCUGCCUUUGUAUGACGGUCUUUAAGCUUCUCGUAAACAUUAUACUAUCGUACUUUUGAACUUUAGUUAAAAGACCGUACUUUCAAAAAAACCAUGAUCGUCCGUUNAUAAAGCAAACUUCUCUCCGAACGGAACCGAUGAUGAACUUACCGCAGCAAAAAUAAAUAUGCAUCAGAUAGGAUAUUGGCAGUGAAAAAGAAAUGGAAUUAAUGCUUCAAAUUGAACAAGAAGUGUACAAAAAAAAAGCAGAUUCUACAAAUGAAAAAAAAAAUACAGCAUGUGAGAUGGGCCUCCUCUUCGACCACAACCACUCAAUUUCCAUCUUGAUUUUGCUAAGUUCAUCAUCAUGAUGCAGUCCCGAUGCAGAUCCGACCAAGCCGGCGGGAUCCGUCUUUGUCGGAUCCCGCGGGCGCUGACCCGAGCUCGGAUCCAGGUCAAAGGUGGAUCUGGGGCCGGAUCCGGCAAAACCGGACCCCGUCGGCGCCGAUCCGGCCAAGUCGGCGGGAUCCAUCUUUGUCGGAUCCUGCCGGCGUGAUCCACGCCCAGAUCUGGCUCAAAGGCUGAUCCCCGGCGGAAUCCGUCUUUGCCGAAUCACGCCGGCGCGGAUCUGGGGUCGGGCGCGGAUUAGGGAGAGAAAUCAAGAGAGGGAGAAAGAUAAUCUGUAUGAAAAAAAAACACUCUCCUUGGAAAAAAAAAAAGAGAGUACCUUGGAGGUUCGCCGGAGAAAAACUCGCCGGAGAAGAAACUUGCCGGUGGAAAACGCAUCGCCGGAGAGGAAAAAGGGAGAGAGAUGAAGAAGAGAGGGAAGGAGAGGGGAGUGAUUAGAUGAAGAAGAGAGGAGAGGAGAGUGUUUUUUUUUUUUUGGGAGUAGGAGUGGGAGUUGGCUGUGAGAGUAAUGGGAGAGUAAUGAGAGAUAUAUUAUUAAUUAUAAAAGGAUAUGAUAGAAUUGUAAUGUUUGUUUAAGGGUAAUUUCGGUAUUUUAGUAAAAAAAUUUAAGUUGUGAAACAGCUUGUGCGGGAAUCUGUUUUGGAAAAGCAGGUUUUUUCAGCUUCUGCUUUUGGAGGUUGAAGAAUCAGUUUUCAGCUUUUAGGAAGCAGAAUCAGAUUUCUAAAUACCUUUACCAAACACUCUAGCUUGGCCUAAAAGUGAUUUUCAGCUGAAAAUCACUUUGCAAAAGCUUGGCCAAACAGGGCCUAAGUCUUUAUGUCACGCUCUGGACUUCAGCGGAAGCUCACUAGCUACGUGCACAGAACCGCCGUGUACACCACCACCUCUAGUGUACACCAGGCGUCUACAAUCAAUAUAGCAAAAGCAUAACUUCUUAACUAGGUAAUCAGAGCAAAAACUAAAAGUUCAUAAGCUUAUACUAAAACAAUACCCAAUUACAGUUUAGAAAUAAAGUACAACGCACAUUCUAAAUAGUCCCACAAUACAUCUCUGAACUAAACUAGAAUAAGUUUGCAUGGUUUCAUCUAUUUAACAUCGAGGAGGCUCUAGCUAGCCGCUGACCCCUUGCCAGGAACCCUAGCCUUUUCUGCUGCGGAAGGCUCUGCACAAAAGCAAUCAACAAAUGGACGUGAGAACUAUUAAACAAUAGUUCCUAGUGGGUAAGCCGCUAAGAAUGGCGAAGUACACCACUAGGUCAACUGAAGCAGGAGUAAACUAUCGUAAGUAGAACAAGUAAACAUAGCAAAUAGAUGCAAUGAAUUAAUCAUAAACCUGCCUCAACAUGAUAUGUUUUCUAACAUGUUAUACAUACUAAUCAUUACAUAUACCAGUUGAUGUUUCAUGUUAGUUACAAUUAUCCAUCAAUAACCUACAUGUUAUGAUUCAUGCAGCAUGUCAUCAUUAUAGUUUAAUUAACUAAUGAUAUCACAUAGUUACCUCCUACACUAACAGAAGUGUAAGCAUGUAAAUACUGUCAUUACCAGUAAUGACUAACAGGAAUGUCAACCUUCUAGUAUAUUCAUUACUAGGUAUAUCUUAACUAAUGACAUGAAGUAUCUGAACUACUAUGUCCUCUAAGGUUACAUUCAUUUACAUUACCUCAAUUAAUGAGAGACUUACGCGUGGUAAAGUCCCGGCUCGUGCCGUGUCUAAUGGCCCCGUGGAAGUCAACACUACCCACGGCAAUCCACUUCGGCGCUCAGUCCCGCACGGGCGAUCUGCUAUCGCAAGGCCAACUCCGGAGUGCCGGCUUGUGGGGCGCGACCCUCAGAACCAUGUGCGCGCGCCCCUCACAACCAUGUGCGAAUGAGCACAUCAGCAAGCAAGCGUAAUCCAUAACAUAAGGUCUAUAGGUCUCAUAUCCAAUCAUCAUGUCUCUAACAUGAAAUCUCAAUUUCGGCACAAAGUCGACUAUUAAUAAUAAAGUCAUAUUUUACUUUCAACUACUUGGUGACAUAUUUCUAUCAAUAGAUAAUACGACUUAAACAAAUACACGAUUUACAUCAUAUUGAUGAUUCUAGCGGCCUAUACCUGCAUACUCACAUAUAAUCCAAUCACUACUCCCUAUAACAUAAGGAAAGUGGUUUACUAAAGUCAUAGUCACUGAUUCACUAUGAUGUUCAUACCACUCAUGGCAUAUGUUCUAUAUUUCUAAACCUCCACUAGUGGAGUAAACAAGCAUUAUGCAAUUACUUCUACUUGACUACACAAGUAUAUCAUUUCGCGACCCAUAGGUCAGAAUCUACAUCAUUAUGUCCAACUCUAGUCAUUUAACUAGGUCAUAUUCAAUAGCAUAAGCCAUAAAGUUCAUGCUAACUCUAUCAUAUGAAUGUUAUGAACUACUUGUCUACACAAGUAUACGAAACCUCAUGUAAUGUAUUCUACACAGAAUCUCUAAACAAUUCAUUUCACAAUAUAAAGAUACAACCUUGUUAUAUGCAAUAUACACAGAAAUUCUUUCGUCAUGUCUAUAACAUGGAAUAGCAUGAUUUAACUUAAGAGUUAAAUGUCUUAACCAUUCUCCUCUUAGUUGUUAAUCUACACCAAGUGUCACAUUCAUAGCUUUACCUCGAUUCCCUAUGGAAGGAUGCAAUGUCUAACUUGUCUACACAAGUUUUACUAAUCUCGUAUAAAGCAUGCUAAUUAAGCUAUUUCCAAAAUCCCUUUUUCUCUACUACAUAGAGAUUUCACUUAAUCAUAUAUGGUAAGCAUGUGUUAUGCAUGCGCAAUUCAUUCAAACAUAUAUUCACAUGAAUAUGUAGGAAUUACAACUUAUUAAUGUCAAAGAAGACAUAGGGGGGAUUCACCAAUUUUGGUAAGGUCAAACCCACCAAAUCGCUGUCGACUCUUGUCGAUUCCGCGAGCGAAGAUGCUCUCUAGCCUCCAAGCACCCUAACAAUCAUACUAAAUUAACUAAGAGCUUUAACCAAGCAUUCACAUAAGAACUUCACAAGUUAACCUAGUUUAGGCAAAAAUCUCACCUAGUAUAGGACCAAGGCUUGUUCCUCACUUCAAUUCAGGUUGGAGCAUACCACAUCCAACCUACCAAGAUCACCAAAACUCAGCCAAAAGGGUUCACAAACCUGCUGUGAGCUAACAUCAAGAACUCCACCAAUGCUACUACUAAUACAUCAAACUAGAGAGAUGUUAAGUAGUAUACCUUUCCAAAGCUCCAAUCUCAGCCAAUUCCUGAACUAGGGUUGCAGGUAUCUCAUCUAAGACACUAUUUUCCUCACUUCUAUAGCUCCUCCAAAGCCCUCAAACCAGCAAGCAUGAAGAAGAAAGGAGAAAAGAGAUCAACACAUCAAUUUCUUCCAAUUUCCUCAAAAUUUUCCUAGAGAGAGAAAGAGAGGGACUUACUCUGUUUUCCCAGAGCCAAAACACAAGAAAACCCUGCUGGGGUCGAGCUAGGGUUUAAAUGGAUAAGCAUUAAAGUGAAAUUAUCAUAAAACCCCUCACCAACUAACUCAGCCGCACUGGGUACCGGUACUCGGGCUCGGGUACCGGUACUUGGCCUCAAAACAGCUAAAACCCGAUAGCUCUGCGCAACUGGGUUUUUAUAUAGGGUAUCGGUACUCGCCAGAUGCAGUACCGGUACGCAGCACUCAAACCUGAAAUUUUCUAGGUUUUAGUGUCAAUAAUCCAUCCAAACACUUGGAGCAUAUAAGUUAACGACCAGUAUGCUUCCAACAAUAAUCAAAACAAUUAGGAUAGUGUCAAUUACUAUCCUCACAUUGAAACUUUACUAUUUGCUAAAGUUCAGUGUACUACACUUUAAGACUUUUUGAUAGGUCCAAGACGUGAAAUUAUAUUAAAUGGGAGGGAAUUAAACGAGAAUAAGAGUUUGAUGGAAUUUGAACUUAGUACCUCCUGCUUUGAACCCUUUUUCUUCCUAAUAGUUUGAGUUGUCAGAGGACUGUAUUUUUAAUUUUUGUAUAUGACGCUCAAUUCAUUAAUUCUUUGUUGGAACAUUUCUGUGAUCUUACUUUGCAAUGAUUCUCAGCUUGCGCCCAACUCAUAUGACGAGGUUUAUGAGGCCGUAUUUGAGUACAUAGAUCGCAUUUUCUUGUUGAUUCGGCCACGGAAGCUUCUUUUCAUGGCAAUUGGUGAGGUUUGGAGUUCAAAAGAUUUUGUUUUGAGGUGAAAGUUUGAAAUGUAACUUUAAUUUGAUUUGAGUGCUAGAUGGGGUUGCACCACGAGCGAAGAUGAAUCAGCAACGAGCAAGGCGGUUCAGGGCUGCUAAAGAUGCGGCUGAUACAGUGAGUUUGGCCUUAAUUUUAUUCCGGUUUCUAAGAAAAUAGUAAUUUUUUGAGUUUUUCUUUUUGUUUAAUUGUGGUGAGGACUAAUCAGGCGGUAGAGGCCGAGAAGUUGGGGAAUGAGUUGAAGAGAGAAUUUGAAGAACUAGCUUGGCCAGAACAAAAUGGAAGUAUGGAUUCAAAUGUUAUCACACCCGGAACUAAGUUUAUGGCCUCCUUAUCUGUGGCUCUUCAAUACUACAUUCAACUGAGAUUGAACAGUGAUCCUGCAUGGCGCGGCAUCAAAGUAGAGUUUAAGCAGUUGCUCUUGCUUUUUAUUAUUUUUCAGCUUAUGUGGUUUAUAUGAAGGGUGAACAUACAGACAUAACCUGGAUUACAUUGCAUUCUAAAUGUGCGCUUGAACUUUGAAAAUUGAUUUCAAUACCUAACCUUUCAUGACUUUUGAUUUCAGUAACUCUAGUCAAGAUCUGUAAAGACUUAACAGUUUCGAUCAAAACAGUUGUUGAAUAUGCUGUCCAGUAAUGGAAUAAUCUUUUGGUUGAAAAGUUACCAAACAUUGAGAAGCACUGACGGACAAGUAUUGUAAUGCAAAAUAAUGGAUGCUUAAAUGCUGAAAUUAAAACUUACAAACUUUUGGCACUCAUUUCAAAAUGUGUUGUAGUUCAAGUAGUAUGCGUUUGUUUCCAUCUUUACUUUCUUUGUAUGAAUUUUAAUUAUCUCGGAAGUAUCUAGGUCAUUCUUUCCGAUGCAAAUGUGCCUGGGGAGGGUGAGCACAAAAUAGCAUCAUAUAUCCGUGCACAGAGGAAUCUAUCGGGAUUUGACCCAAACACAAGGCAUUGCUUGUACGGAUUGGUAAUUAUUACAUCCUUUUGUUAAUAUUAUCAUCUUUAUCUCUUAUUUUGAUAUCUUUGUGUUAUCUUUCCAUUAUCUCUGACUAAUAUGUAAUCUGCUUUUUGAUAUAUUAGGAUGCUGACUUGAUCAUGCUUGCUCUAGCAACACAUGAGAUUCAUUUCUCUAUUUUAAGAGAGGUGAGCGACUUUGAUGAAAGAUAGGAUUACUCUGAUAUCUGGUCUCUCACAAUAAUUGAUGGUGGUUGUUUUUUUGUUCUUGGAGAUAGGAUGUUCGAGUUGCACGGAAGAGUGAAAGAAUAGCCAAGUCACAUAUGAAAAGCCAAUUGUCUAGUCAAAGGGUGGGAAAGAGGGGGAUUAAAGAAGAUAAUGAUGGGAUCCGACGAAUAAAGUUUCAGGUUGCUUUUUUAUGUCAUUUUACUUGAAAGGUUCUAAGUUCUUAAAAUAUAUUGCAAAGAAAAGUCUUGCAAUUAUAUGUGAAUUGGUUUCUUGCUUCGCAUAGUUUUUUUGUAAUUCUACUUAUAUUUAUUUUUACAGUUAUAUUUUAUUUUAUUUUUCCAAUGUGAACUUUGUGCAACUAGCAUAAAGAGUUAAUCACUCUUAUCAUUGAACUUUCUAUUCGGAAGUAGAUUUUUGUUUCACAUUUUGUAAGCUGUUGCAACUAAUUUAAGGAGAUGAAAAAUAUUCUUCUUUCAAGCUUAUACUGGUUAAAUAACUAUAGAGACAAAGUCAAUGACCAUAAUAGUAAUGAUCAUUAACAUUUUAAGAUACAAACUCUAGGCAGAGUUCGACGAAGGUGGAAAUGUAUAAACAUUAUCUUAACUAUGUUGCAUUUUGAAACAAUAUCUGAACUUCAAAAAUAGGCUUUUAUUCAUUUAGAAUUCAAAACUCGACCUUUCCCUUUCCUCGAGUUAGGAUUCAAAACCUAAUCUUGUAAUGUAUUUGAUUUUGUAUGUCUUGAGCAAAUUUAAUGUUUCUUUUGUCUUUUGUUUUUGUAAAUUGAAUAUUCUUCUAUUUGAUGGAACGUUCUACAAUUUUUUGAAUGAAAACAGUUAAAUUUAACUGAAUAUGACCAACUUUUUUGAGAAUCUUCCUGAAAUCAAAAGCUAAGAUAAGAUAAUAAAUUCAUAACUUUUAAAGUUGUACCCAUCUAUAAACAUGUUAUAGAUCAAGUAAGGUCUAUACAUUUUACCUUGUUUAAAACUAUUUCUAGUUUGUGCUCUUCCGCUUACUGAUAAACAGUUUUGAUUUUCUUGUAGUUCGUCCAUGUUUGGGUUCUGAGAGAGUAUUUAGAGCAUGACCUAAGGAUAUCAGAUGCUUCGCUGAAGAUUGACUUGGAGCGUUUGAUUGAUGAUUUAGUUUUCAUUUGUUUAUUUGUUGGAAAUGAUUUUCUACCGCAUAUUCCUUCACUGGAAAUAUCAGAGGUUCGAUAUAAAUAUCUACUCUUUUAUCUCGUCCUAUGCUAAAGCUUCUUAUAUCUACAACUUAUCUUUUUGAAUAACUAUGAGUUGGUUUUAUAAAUUCUUGUGAUAUUGAAACACAUUUUUAGAUGGCUAGAACAUAUAAUGGUUAACUUUUGAGUUAAAGAAUUAAUUGAAGAAAUUUAAUAUAAUAGAAAGAUGGUAAUAGUGCUUUAGAAUAGGAAAAUUGAAUGUUUUUAGGGGGGAAAAAAGAAGUGAAUGGGUAAGAAGUGGAUUACAAUGUGGAAAGAGACUAAAAAGGAGGAUAGUGUGCUUUUGAAUCCUCAGUCAAAGUAUAUUAUAUCUACAGUAAUCUUAGUAUCAAAGGGUUGAAGAAAAGAGUGUGGCCGAGUCAAGAUUUAGUUGUGCCGUCAUUUUUAGUUUUAUAAGAUAUUUAUAUUGUUGCCAUCCUUCAACUUAAGAUAAGGGCCUUUGUGUAAGAUAUUGCAGCUUCAAAGGGUAUGCAUGAAAAUUCAGAUUUGAAGGCGCUGAAAAACCAUAUGAACAGUUGGCAUUUGUUAGGAGUUGUUGGAGAAAGAGCUUGCAAGGUGCGGCUGAGCAUAGAUGGACAUUAUGAUGUAGCAAUAUUAUGGUUGCUAUGUUAAAAAACCUUUUGCACUAAGCUGACAAAUUAAUGCUCCACUAGAAGUUGGCAACCUUUCUAAGUAAAGGGUCAAUGAAAUAAUUCAAUGGGACAACUUUUUGUAUCAUGAUUCUUUGGAAUCUCUCUUAAUUUUCAUCUCAAAAAAUCGUUCUAUUUGUGCAUACAGAUAAAACAACUGCAUGCAUCCUGCCUUCCUAUCUUGUAUGCAACUUUGCAUCAUUUAGCAUAUAGUAUAUAUUGAAUAUCGUGGUUCUUAAAUGUUUUUAUAUUUGUUGACGUUUUGGCCUGCUUAGUUGUCACAUUUUAGUAAUCCUUACUGGCAUUUCACGAUUUAGGGUGCAAUAGAUUUGCUAAUGAGGAUAUACAAAAAGGAGUUUGCUUGGAUGGGUGGUUAUCUAACUGACUCUUUCAAGGUUUGUUGCUGCCUACUAUUUCUUUGAUUGUUAGCACUUUGUUGUUAUUAUUUCUAUUGUGUGUAUAUAUAUAUAUAUAGAGAGAGAGAGAGAGAGAGAGAGAGAGAGAGAGAGAGUUGAGUUGGAAUACUAUUGGUAGCAAAUGGGUUCCGUUGCUACCAAUUUGUUUUUAAUGAUGGAGCCUCCAAAUCGACGAUCGAUCGACGAUCGACACCGUUGAACAUGAUCUAUACCACUUGAAGUAUCUAGAAAUCAAAUUUCAAAUCUUUUCGACAUCAUUGACCUAAUGAUCAAAGGGUUGCAAAAUUUAUAAUUUUAAUGGUCGAUAUGAGACGUUUUCUCGUUUAACGGCGUAAAGGUAUCUAAAUCAAUUGAAUUUUGAUUAGAAAAAUUUUUAAACUAUUUAAAACAAGAGCUAUACUUUUGAGUUUUGACUUUGAUUACAAGACUCCUAUCAUCACUUUUUGAAGGAUAUUUAGUUUCAGCCGUUCAUUUUUGUGUUCUAUUGGUGGACAAGAGAACAAUAUCGGAAAAGUAAAAAAUUUGAUUUUUUGAUUGUUUAAAUGGUCUAGAUCACGUUCAUGAUGGCAACUGUCGAUU